UACGAAGGGGGCUAGCGUUGUUCGGAAUCACUGGGCGUAAAGCGCACGUAGGCGGAUUGUUAAGUCGGGGGUGAAAUCCUGGGGCUCAACCUCAGAACUGCCUUCGAUACUGGCAAUCUCGAGUCCGGAAGAGGUUGGUGGAACAGCUAGUGUAGAGGUGAAAUUCGUAGAUAUUAGCUAGAACACCAGUGGCGAAGGCGGCCAACUGGUCCGGUACUGACGCUGAGGUGCGAAAGCGUGGGGAGCAAACAGG
This 253-nucleotide ribosomal RNA is filed under the name uncultured bacterium. RNAcentral's name for it is "partial 16S ribosomal RNA". It matches the Rfam family "Bacterial small subunit ribosomal RNA", at positions 524 to 776 of the family's 1533-position model. The record is from RNAcentral.